AACGAACGCUGGCGGCAUGCCUAACACAUGCAAGUCGAACGAGACCUUCGGGUCUAGUGGCGCACGGGUGCGUAACGCGUGGGACCUGCCCUUAGGUUCGGAAUAACCCCCCGAAAGGGGUGCUAAUACCGGAUAAUGUCUUCGGACCAAAGAUUUAUCGCCUUUGGAUGGGCCCGCGUUGGAUUAGCUAGUUGGUAGGGUAAAAGCCUACCAAGGCGACGAUCCAUAGCUGGUCUGAGAGGAUGAUCAGCCACACUGGGACUGAGACACGGCCCAGACUCCUACGGGAGGCAGCAGUGGGGAAUAUUGGACAAUGGGCGAAAGCCUGAUCCAGCAAUGCCGCGUGAGUGAUGAAGGCCUUAGGGUUGUAAAGCUCUUUUACCCGGGAUGAUAAUGACAGUACCGGGAGAAUAAGCUCCGGCUAACUCCGUG
RNAcentral lists this ribosomal RNA (432 nucleotides) under uncultured bacterium. RNAcentral's name for it is "partial 16S ribosomal RNA". It matches the Rfam family "Bacterial small subunit ribosomal RNA", at positions 29 to 507 of the family's 1533-position model. The record is from RNAcentral.